This 213-nucleotide long non-coding RNA is filed under the name Musa acuminata (dwarf banana). RNAcentral describes it as "long non-coding RNA (MACU_LNC008446)". Lineage: Eukaryota; Viridiplantae; Streptophyta; Magnoliopsida; Zingiberales; Musaceae. The record is from RNAcentral.
GGAUGCUUCAAUCAGGGAGAGAUAAUUAAAGUAGGAAAAAUCAUGUUGGGCCGGAGGAAAACAUCUCAGAUGAUUGGACGUCGGGUCGGAGGAUCGGUCGAUCAAUCGACAGAAGGCUUCGGGCCAUGGAUUCGGGCAUCGGGCCGAGAAGAGCGAAUAUUGCAUCAAGGAUAUCGGAGUUGCAGAGUCAACUGGCCGAUUAGGCAAUAGGCC